CCUGCCCCUACCCACGACAGAAUGGAGGGACGCCACUGCUGUACGCUGUGCGUGGGAACCACGUGAAAUGCGUUGAGGCCUUGCUGGCCCGAGGCGCUGACCUCACCACCGAAGCCGACUCUGGCUACACCCCGAUGGACCUUGCCGUGGCCCUGGGAUACCGGAAAGUGCAACAGGUGAUCGAGAACCACAUCCUCAAGCUCUUCCAGAGCAACCUGGUGCCCGCUGACCCUGAGUGAAGGCCGCCUGCCGGGGACUCAGACACUCAGGGAACAAAAUGGUCAGCCAGAGCUGGGGAAACCCAGAACUGGCUUCAAAGGCAGCUCCUGGACAGGUGGUGGGAGGGGACCCUUCCCAAGAGGAACCAAUAAACCUUCUGUGCAGAAUGA
This 389-nucleotide small RNA is filed under the name Pongo abelii (Sumatran orangutan). RNAcentral's name for it is "retained intron". Lineage: Eukaryota; Metazoa; Chordata; Mammalia; Primates; Hominidae. The record is from RNAcentral.